Molecule: transfer RNA, 69 nt
Filed under: Mongoloraphidia harmandi
Lineage: Eukaryota; Metazoa; Arthropoda; Insecta; Raphidioptera; Raphidiidae
Description: tRNA-Pro
Source: RNAcentral
CAGAAAAUAGUUUAAAGUAAAAUAAUAAUUUUGGAGAUUAUUGAUAUAUAUAUAUAUAUAUAUUUCUGA